Populus trichocarpa (black cottonwood) is the source of this 156-nucleotide non-coding RNA. The record is from Rfam. Lineage: Eukaryota; Viridiplantae; Streptophyta; Magnoliopsida; Malpighiales; Salicaceae.
UCUAGAACUUGAGAUAUAGGCUGAACAUUGAACAAUGUCUGGGCUGCAGGAUAGAUUCUGAAUUCUCUGUUGUUGCCACCAUUUGAACUCGAUAAUGACACUUUUAAAUCCUGGACUCUUCAUGAAAGUUUUAGGCAUAUGUCUUAACUUUCCAUA